GACGAACGCUGGCGGCGUGCUUAACACAUGCAAGUCGAGCGGAAAGGCCCUUCGGGGUACUCGAGCGGCGAACGGGUGAGUAACACGUGAGCAAUCUGCCCUUAGCUCUGGGAUAGCUCCGGGAAACCGGGAUUAAUACCAGAUAUGACCACUUUAGACAUCUUUUGUGGUGGAAAGAAUUUCGGCUAGGGAUGAGCUCGCGGCCUAUCAGCUUGUUGGUGGGGUAACGGCCUACCAAGGCGACGACGGGUAGCCGGCCUGAGAGGGCGACCGGCCA
RNAcentral lists this ribosomal RNA (277 nucleotides) under uncultured bacterium. RNAcentral's name for it is "partial 16S ribosomal RNA". It matches the Rfam family "Bacterial small subunit ribosomal RNA", at positions 28 to 310 of the family's 1533-position model. The record is from RNAcentral.